Molecule: unclassified non-coding RNA, 404 nt
Filed under: Hevea brasiliensis (rubber tree)
Lineage: Eukaryota; Viridiplantae; Streptophyta; Magnoliopsida; Malpighiales; Euphorbiaceae
Source: RNAcentral
GUUAAAUGUUUGGUUGGAUGAAGUAAUGUUGGAAGCUCGAUUUUUCACAUUGCAACUAGCUUUAUGGCUUUUACAUCUCAAAAAAGCUUUACUUUGGUGAAACUUAUCAAUGCACAAGGAACCAGUUUCAUCAACAUACUUUCCGAGGAUUUUUCAUUCUUUUUCUCCGUGGUCGAAUUCCCCAAUCUUUUCUUGCUGGGUUAUUGAACACGGAUCGAUUAUACAGGUGCAGAUGAAGAGUUGAAAAAUAGAAUUUCCAGGACAGAUUAAUAUUAUGAUAGAAAAUAUUGUAUACAUAUUCAUUGAUGUUAGUCAAAUUUAUAUAUAGAGUGCAGCUGUAAGGGACGUCUCUUUUUUCUGGGUGUGUUCUGGAUUUGGAGAAGUUGCAAUGGUAACUCAUAACA